Molecule: transfer RNA, 77 nt
Filed under: Bacteroidota bacterium
Lineage: Bacteria; Pseudomonadati; Bacteroidota
Description: tRNA-Met
Rfam family: tRNA
About the family: Transfer RNA (tRNA) molecules are approximately 80 nucleotides in length.
Source: RNAcentral
GGCGUGGUAGCUCAGUCGGUUAGAGCGUCGGAUUCAUAACCCGGAGGUCACGAGUUCAACUCUCGUCCACGCUACCA